AGCUAUUAGAACUUAAUUAAUAGUAAUGCCUGCCCAAUGCAAAGUUAAUGGCUGCAGUAAUCUGACUGUACUAAGGUAGCAUAAUCAAUAGUCUUUUAAUUGAUGACUGGAAUGAAGGGCUAAAACUAAAAAGAAAGUUUUAUAAUCUCUUAUUGAAUUUAAAUUAAAUAUAAAAAUGUUUUUAUAAAUUUCUAGGACGAGAAGACCCUAGAAGCUAGAAAUAAGAUUAUUUUAGUUGGGGUGACUAAGGAAGAUAAAAAUCUUUUAUUUUUAAGUAUAUAAUUAUGAAAGUUACUCUAGGGAUAACAGCGUUAUUUAAUUUUAGAGUUCAAAUUGGAAAUUAAGAUUGCGACCUCGAUGUUGAAUUAAAUUGUACUAAAGGUGAAGAAGCUUUUACAAAUAGUCUGUUCGACUAUUAAAUAUUUACA
This 428-nucleotide ribosomal RNA is filed under the name Tithaeus kokutnus. RNAcentral's name for it is "partial 16S ribosomal RNA". It matches the Rfam family "Bacterial large subunit ribosomal RNA", at positions 1832 to 2600 of the family's 2925-position model. Lineage: Eukaryota; Metazoa; Arthropoda; Arachnida; Opiliones; Tithaeidae. The record is from RNAcentral.